AGAGUUUGAUCCUGGCUCAGAUUGAACGCUGGCGGCAUGCCUUACACAUGCAAGUCGAACGGCAGCGCGGGAGCAAUCCUGGCGGCGAGUGGCGAACGGGUGAGUAAUACAUCGGAACGUGCCCAAUCGUGGGGGAUAACGCAGCGAAAGCUGUGCUAAUACCGCAUACGAUCUACGGAUGAAAGCAGGGGAUCGCAAGACCUUGCGCGAAUGGAGCGGCCGAUGGCAGAUUAGGUAGUUGGUGAGGUAAAGGCUCGCCAAGCCUUCGAUCUGUAGCUGGUCUGAGAGGACGACCAGCCACACUGGGACUGAGACACGGCCCAGACUCCUACGGGAGGCAGCAGUGGGGAAUUUUGGACAAUGGGCGAAAGCCUGAUCCAGCCAUGCCGCGUGCAGGAUGAAGGCCUUCGGGUUGUAAACUGCUUUUGUACGGAACGAAACGGCCUUUUCUAAUAAAGAGGGCUAAUGACGGUACCGUAAGAAUAAGCACCGGCUAAUUACGUGCCAGCAGCCGCGGUAAU
Molecule: ribosomal RNA, 521 nt
Filed under: uncultured bacterium
Lineage: Bacteria
Description: bacterial SSU rRNA
Rfam family: Bacterial small subunit ribosomal RNA
Source: RNAcentral